Long non-coding RNA from Ipomoea nil (Japanese morning glory), 120 nucleotides. RefSeq lists it as uncharacterized. NCBI's taxonomy places the organism in Eukaryota, Viridiplantae, Streptophyta, Magnoliopsida, Solanales, Convolvulaceae. The transcript is spliced from 3 exons. The record is from RefSeq and is a predicted model, not a curated record.
UGUUUAUAAAUCCAUUUCUAUAUAAAACUAGGUUUUAUGAUUAAACACUACUUCCACCCUAAUGGCAUAAUAUAUUACAAUAAAUCAGCAAAUAUUGACCACAUAUCACAAAAUAUCACA